Molecule: ribosomal RNA, 245 nt
Filed under: uncultured bacterium
Lineage: Bacteria
Description: partial 16S ribosomal RNA
Rfam family: Bacterial small subunit ribosomal RNA
Source: RNAcentral
UACGUAGGUGGCGAGCGUUGUUCGGAUUUAUUGGGCGUAAAGGGUCCGCAGGGGGUUUGUCAAGUCUGAUGUGAAAUCCCGUGGCUCAACCACGGAAUUGCAUUGGAAACUAGCAGACUAGAGUGCUGGAGAGGUAAGCGGAAUUCCAGGUGUAGCGGUGGAAUGCGUAGAUAUCUGGAAGAACACCGAAAGCGAAGGCAGCUUACUGGACAGAUACUGACCCUCAGGGACGAAAGCGUGGGGAG